UCCCUGGUGGCUCAGUCAGUAAAGAGUCUGCCUGCAAUGCAGGAGACCUGGGUUCGAUCCCUGGGUUGGGAA
RNAcentral lists this transfer RNA (72 nucleotides) under Capra hircus (goat). It matches the Rfam family "tRNA". From Rfam's summary of the family: Transfer RNA (tRNA) molecules are approximately 80 nucleotides in length. RNAcentral also lists the same sequence under 1 other name. The record is from Rfam by way of RNAcentral. Lineage: Eukaryota; Metazoa; Chordata; Mammalia; Artiodactyla; Bovidae.